This 468-nucleotide ribosomal RNA is filed under the name uncultured bacterium. Its description in RNAcentral is "partial 16S ribosomal RNA". It matches the Rfam family "Bacterial small subunit ribosomal RNA", at positions 28 to 507 of the family's 1533-position model. The record is from RNAcentral.
GACGAACGCUGGCGGCGUGCUUAACACAUGCAAGUCGAACGGAAAGGCCCUGCUUUUGUGGCGUGCUCGAGUGGCGAACGGGUGUGUAACACGUGAGUAACCUGCCCUUAACUUUGGGAUAACUUCAGGAAACUGGGGCUAAUACCGGAUAGGAGCUCCUGCUGCAUGUGGUGGGUUGGAAAGUUUCGGCGGUUGUGGAUGGACUCGCGGCUUAUCAGCUUGUUGGUGGGGUAGUGGCUUACCAAGGCUUUGAAGGGUAGCCGGCCUGAGAGGGUGACCGGCCACAUUGGGACUGAGAUACGGACCAGACUCCUACGGGAGGCAGCAGUCGGGAAUAUUGCACAAUGGGCGGAAGUCUGAUGCAGCAACGCCGCGUGCGGGAUGACGUCCUUCGGGUUGUAAACCGCUUUCGCCUGUGACGAAGCGUGAGUGACGGUAAUGGGUAAAGAAGCACCGGCUAACUACGUG